AUGUUCUUUGAGACACCGGAGGUGGACCCUCUACCGCAGAUGGUUGAGAGUUCCUUCCCAGCAGUAGUCAGAGUCACUAAUGGACAGUUGUCAGAGGCUCAGAUCGUGAGACAUCUACGUGACUUAGUGCCAGGGAACCAUCAGUGGCAUCUGGAACAUUUAGAGGAUCAGUCCUAUAAGGUGGAUUUUCCCACCAAAGAGGAUCAAUUGCAUUUUCUUAAGUGGGGUUUGUGCAGAGUCCCGAGCACCAACAUUGUUAUUGCUUUUGAUGAGUGGAAGGAGGAGGAACCUGAUGGUAUACCUUUGGAGAAGGUGUGGGUACGUUUCUUUGGCGCGCCACCAAAAUUGAUGAAACAUUUUCUGAUUGCUUGGAGUUUGGGUGCUAUGAUUGGUAAAACAGAAAAGGUUGACAUGCCUUUCACUCGUGCACACAGGGCUGCGAGGUUACUGGUCAGCGUUGUGAGUGUUGAGUUCAUACCAGAUGUGGUCAGAUGGACA
RNAcentral lists this ribosomal RNA (498 nucleotides) under Triticum aestivum (bread wheat). Its description in RNAcentral is "partial small subunit ribosomal RNA". Lineage: Eukaryota; Viridiplantae; Streptophyta; Magnoliopsida; Poales; Poaceae. The record is from RNAcentral.